UCUCCUCCCCCACCUUACUAUUACAAAUCCCCACCGCCACCUUCACCAUCUCCCCCACCACCCUACUACUAUAAAUCACCCCCACCACCUUCACCAUCUCCUCCACCACCAUACUACUACAAAUCACCCCCACCGCCAUAUGAACACAAGACUAAACCAUACUAUUACAAGUCUCCUCCACCACCAUAUGAACACAAGACUAAACCAUACUAUUACAAGUCCCCACCACCACCUUCACCAUCUCCUCCACCACCAUACUAUUACAAGUCCCCACCACCACCUUCACCGUCUCCACCCCCACCAUACUACUACAAAUCACCUCCUCCUCCAUCACCUAUUCCCCAUACACCUUACUACUACAAGUCCCCACCACCACCUAAGGUUCUUCCACCACCAUACUAUUACAACUCUCCUCCUCCACCUGUUGUGUAUCAUCACCCUCAUCCCUACCACCAUGCAUUGAUCGUGAAGGUAGUGGGUAACGUCUACAGCUUCAGAUGUUAUGACUGGGAGUAUCCUGAAAAGUCUCAUAACAAGAAACACCUCAAAGGUACAUCACAUUACAUUUCUCAAUUCUUUCAUUUUUAUAGAUUUUAUGUACAUCACUAUUGGCUCGUAGUUUCUCAAUACCAUUACAACUAAACUGCAAGUUUCAGUAAUGAGAUUCAUAUAGACAUGUUUUUAUUAACAUCUUUGUUUCUUAGAAAUUAUACAAACACUUAAUUUAGGUUUCUCCAUGUCCAAUAAAGUAAACAAUUGAUAUAUCAAAUUAACAUAUAUGAUAUAUCAUUUACCUCAUUAAAAUUUAAUAAUCCUGCCUAAUAUAAAGAUUCGGUUUGAAAAUGAUAGUUUAGUGAGCUUCUUUAUAAUAACACUCUCCAAUAUAUUAUGUUUUAAAAACAAUUAUAUUUCUAUUUGUCUAAAUUCAAAUUUGUUAUGGGACAGGUGCUGUUGUUGAAGUGACAUGCAAAGCCGGGAGCAAAAUCAUCAAGGCUUACGGUAAAACUAAGAUCAAUGGAAAGUAUGCCAUCACAGUUAAGGACUUUGACUAUGUCAAAUAUGGUUCAACAGUGUGCAAGGCUGCCCUUUAUGCUCCACCUAAGGGUUCACCCUUCAACAUACCUACAAAGCUAAACCAAGGAACAAACUUGUACUUGAAAUCCAAAGACAAGUACGAGGUUGUGCUCAAGGCUAAGCCAUUUGCUUAUGCUUCAAAGAAACAUUUCAAAGAAUGUGAGAAGUCCAAGCCUUCACCAACUCCUUACUACUACAAAUCACCUCCACCUCCCUCACCAGUUUACAAGUAUAACUCACCACCUCCACCCGUCCAUUAUUACUCACCUCCAUAUUACUACAAGUCACCUCCUCCCCCCGUGAAAGCGGCACCAACUCCUUACUACUACAAAUCACCUCCACCUCCCGCACCAGUUUACAAGUACAACUCCCCACCUCCGCCAGUCCAUUACUAUUCACCUCCAUACACCUAUAAGUCACCUCCUCCUCCUGUGAAAGCAGCACCAACUCCUUACUACUACAAAUCACCUCCACCUCCCGCACCGGUUUACAAGUACAACUCACCACCUCCACCGGUCCAUUAUUAUUCUCCACCAUACUACUACAAGUCACCACCCCCACCAUCUCCAUCACCUCCUCCACCAUACUAUUUCAAAUACUAUUACAAGUCCCCACCUCCACCAUCACCAUCCCCUCCUCCACCUUAUUAUUACAAAUCUCCUCCUCCACCAAAACAAAUUUCACACCCUCCAUACUACUAUAAGUCACCACCCCCACCAUCACCAUCACCUCCUCCACCAUACUAUUAUAAGUCUCCACCUCCACCAUCACCAUCUCCCCCACCACCUUAUUAUUAUAAGUCACCACCCCCACCAUCCCCGUCCCCUCCUCCACCAUACUACUACAAGUCUCCACCUCCACCUAAAGAAAUAUCACAUCCUCCAUAUAACUAUAAGUCACCACCCCCACCAUCACCAUCCCCUCCCCCUCCAUACUAUUACAAAUCUCCUCCACCACCAUCACCAUCACCACCACCUCCCUACUAUUACAAAUCACCUCCACCACCAUCACCAUCACCUCCCCCUCCAUACUAUUACAAAUCUCCUCCACCACCAUCACCAUCACCACCACCUCCUUACUAUUACAAAUCACCUCCACCACCAUCCCCAUCACCACCACCUCCAUACUACUACAAAAGUCCCCCUCCACCAUCUCCAUCUCCUCCAUCCCCAUAUUACUACAAAUCUCCACCACCACCAUCACCAUCCCCACCCCCUCCCUACUAUUACAAAUCACCUCCACCUCCCUCACCAUCACCGCCACCUCCUUACUAUUACAAAUCUCCCCCACCUCCAUCUCCAUCUCCACCACCUCCUUAUCACUAUCAAAGUCCUCCUCCCCCAUCUCCCAUUUCUCAUCCUCCCAACUACUACAAAUCCCCUCCACCACCAUCGCCAUCUCCUCCACCUCCAUACCAUUACGUGAGUCCUCCCCCACCAGUAAAGUCACCUCCACCACCAGCUUACAUCUAUGCUUCUCCACCACCACCAAUCUACAA
RNAcentral lists this long non-coding RNA (2572 nucleotides) under Medicago truncatula (barrel medic). RNAcentral describes it as "long non-coding RNA (MTRU_LNC000785)". Lineage: Eukaryota; Viridiplantae; Streptophyta; Magnoliopsida; Fabales; Fabaceae. The record is from RNAcentral.